UCUGACAGCACUGCCACCCUGAACAUGUCCAAUCUCGUCUGAUCUCAGAAGUAAGCAGGGUUGGGCCCAGUUAGUACUUGGAUGGGAGACCACUUAGGAAGACCGGGUGCUGUAGGCA
Molecule: ribosomal RNA, 118 nt
Filed under: Pteropus alecto (black flying fox)
Lineage: Eukaryota; Metazoa; Chordata; Mammalia; Chiroptera; Pteropodidae
Source: RNAcentral